GCUCCUGGAACCGAGCGUGGGUGAGAGGUUCUCUGAACCUUGAGCUCAGCGGAGACUUAAGAGGCUGUGCCAGAAGCUGGGAGGGGCAAAGACAUCUUCAGCUCUCCACGUUAGCUCCGGGUUUAAAGAAUCUAUUUCUACUCAGCGUGCACACACCUUACUCCUUUCCCUCAAGAUGGCAAAGAAGACCCCAGAGCUGCUCCAUCCUCCCAUUCUUCAGCAGAGCAUGGAUGCCUCAGAGGAAAGGAUCUGGGCCACUUGCUUUAUCCAGGCUUGACUGACAGCAGGGUCUGAAGCCUGCAGAACAUAGCGCUGGAUCCCACCUUCUGGCCCUCUAGAGGUCAGCGCAAACCGGCAAGGGUUGCCUUGGAGAUUCCCCUCCAGCCCGAGGCAGCUCACCUGGAUUGGCAAUCAGAGACAGCUCUCAGAUUCUGCAAGCCCUUCCACCAGCCCCAAGAGCCUCGCACCAUCAGCCAGGCUGCGUGCCACCUCGGCCUCCUCCUCCCAGGGCCUCACUGAAGAUGACGAUUUGCUCGAACAGGAAGACACGCCUCUCCCGACCCCGGGAAGAAAGCAGACCCCCAGCUUCAGGCUCUGUAACCAAGAAUGUGUCCUGGCCCAAGAGCUUCCCCUGAGCAGUCAGUUUUCCCUGGAACCGAAGGACAUGGCCUCUGAGAAGGCGCAACAAGAGUUUGAAAAGAGAACCAUCAGUUUCUUUCCCGUCCCCCACGCCAACAAGCCCAAGGAGCCCCCCUCUCCAGCGCAUGCACAUACCCAACCCAGGGGGCAGUGAGGACAGCUCAGCCGGGCUAUCUUUGGCCAGCAAUUGGGAAGAGCUGCAAUGUGAGUGCUUAUAAAACCCUUUACAGGUAGGUAGAUACCCUUCGCCCCAUCCCCAGCCCACCAUUCCUCUGCUCCCUUUUCGGAAGACUUUUAGCCGUGUGAUCUGAGACACAAGGUUCUGGGCCUCAGGCGAUCACAAGAGAAAUUUCCCUCCUGGCUAGCUGACUAUAGGAAAGAAAUGGGUCCUCUGACCCUUCCUCAACUUCCUCAACUUGAUUCAGCAGGAAUCUAGAAGUGGAAAAGGACCUUGACAUUCUCUGUUAAAUCAUUUUUUUUCUGGAAAUCACCUGUACAAGCUCCAGCCCUAAAGCCCUAGGGCUAGAGUAAGCAGAUGCCCUAACCCCAGCUCAAGCUCAAUGCUGGCCCCCUCAGAUCUCGCACUCACCACGUCC
Mus caroli (Ryukyu mouse) is the source of this 1235-nucleotide long non-coding RNA. RefSeq lists it as uncharacterized. The record is from RefSeq and is a predicted model, not a curated record. Lineage: Eukaryota; Metazoa; Chordata; Mammalia; Rodentia; Muridae.